GGCGGCGUGCCUAAUACAUGCAAGUCGAGCGGAGUUGUUCCUUCGGGAGCAACUUAGCGGCGGACGGGUGAGUAACACGUAGGCAACCUGCCCACAAGCCUGGGAUAACGUCCGGAAACGGAUGCUAAUACCGGAUACGUUGAUUUCUCGCAUGAGGAAUCAUGGAAAGGCGGAGCAAUCUGCCACUUAUGGAUGGGCCUGCGGCGCAUUAGCUAGUUGGUGGGGUAAUGGCUCACCAAGGCGACGAUGCGUAGCCGACCUGAGAGGGUGAUCGGCCACACUGGGACUGAGACACGGCCCAGACUCCUACGGGAGGCAGCAGUAGGGAAUCUUCGGCAAUGGGCGAAAGCCUGACCGAGCAACGCCGCGUGAGUGAAGAAGGCUUUCGGGUCGUAAAACUCUGUUGCCAGAGAAGAACGUCCGGUAGAGUAACUGCUGCCGGAGUGACGGUAUCUGAGAAGAAAGCCCCGGCUAACUACGUGCCAGCAGCCGCGG
Molecule: ribosomal RNA, 495 nt
Filed under: uncultured bacterium
Lineage: Bacteria
Description: bacterial SSU rRNA
Rfam family: Bacterial small subunit ribosomal RNA
Source: RNAcentral